AUUACCAGGGGUGGUAUAGUACGUCAUCAACAGGUGCGCGCAACACUUCCCGAUGCGGCUUUUUUAUGUCAAAACACCUCGAUUCGAUCACAACAGAAACACCAGAGAUAUUCUGUUUAUCAGAAUUAAAUUAUGAAGCUAAACACUUGGGGUUCAGCAGUAUGAUAUCCGUAGAGAGAUGAACAUAAACUGCAUAUAGUAGUAAUUCAUGCAUUUCUCGGGAAUAAAAUGACACGUCAAAAAAAA
Mercenaria mercenaria is the source of this 246-nucleotide long non-coding RNA. RefSeq lists it as uncharacterized. NCBI's taxonomy places the organism in Eukaryota, Metazoa, Mollusca, Bivalvia, Venerida, Veneridae. The transcript has 2 exons. The record is from RefSeq and is a predicted model, not a curated record.